This is a non-coding RNA of Macaca mulatta (Rhesus monkey), 1773 nucleotides long. Lineage: Eukaryota; Metazoa; Chordata; Mammalia; Primates; Cercopithecidae. The record is from RefSeq and is a predicted model, not a curated record.
AUUGAUGAAUACAACCCCCUUCUCCCAGCCCUUGAAACAGAGUGGGAAGGGUGUUCAUCUACCACGAGAGCCACAGCAAAGUGGAGGGAGACAUACACCAUGCGUGCUUCUCUCAGGUCCAGGAGACCAAAGCAGCUGCGUCUGGACAGCCAUGAGGGUGAGCAGGCAGACAUCCCUGCGGAAACCGACUGCAGCCCAGGGGAGACCAGGCCAGCUCAGUGUUCACUGUGUUUAUCACAAGCACGCAGACAAUGCACAUGUGCAGUGCUAACGGGACAGGGGCCACAGCCCAGCGGAGCUUCUCUGGCCCACUCAGAACUGGCCUCAUGUACGGGACAACCCAACCUCCACCUCCCUGCAAGGGGCCUCCGUGUCCUGGUGGCUGCUGGGAAGAGAAGCAAUAGCCACGUGUCCAGCAUGGCCGCUCUUCUUUCGACACGUUCUCGGACCCACCUUUGCGCUGGUCAUCAAUAUUCUCCCCGUAGUUGACUCGCCCACGAUUCUCCACCAAGAUCCUCAGCACAGUGUAACCCUGCCAGCAACACAGGGCUAACGAUGACCACUGGAGGGCCACAGCUGCCCUCAGAAUGUGCUUGUGGACCCCAGUUCUUCCCUACACUCUGGGGAUGGGAGUGCACAUCCCAGCUGGGCAGAAAGGCGCGCUCGCCCUCUCCACCUGCAGCUUGUGGGGAAGGAGCCACGGGUCUCCCAAGUCUUCCUCGGUGACUCCCCCCGUCCUCCUCGAAGCAGCGGGGGCUAGCCCUCACCCAGCGCCCAAAAACAAUGAACCUGGAUCAGAGGGACAGCGAUCUUCGUUGUCUUGUAGUCCAAGAAUCCUAUGGAUACUGUGUUCACAAACACCUGCCAAAGGGAACAGACAGAAGCAUCCAUGGCCAACAGGAGGAGGGUACGUGGGACCUCCGCUAGGCCAAGAAGGGCAGCACCGCAUGCCUGUGGGCAGACAAGGGGCCAGCGGGCAGAGCAGAAACGAAUGCCCCCAUGAAGACUCGCAGAGCUGACUCGGAAGGGCCAUAUUUACAGCUGGAAAUAGCUGAUUCUGAGGGACAGAACAUAUUGCAGGGCUGCUCAUCAGAAGGUCGCGGGAAUUUAGAAGGGAAGCUCCUACCUGCCCCCGAUCACGCACACGGCCGCUGAGGACGCCAGAUGAGGUGAUGCUGGUCUCGUAGAGAAUGUACCCAAAGGACUGUCCAUUUCCCCCGUUGACUGGCAGGUUCUCCAUGUUGAUGGGCUUUUCAGACUUGAUUGGCUGCGUACAGAAGAGAUGGCGGGGGGGCAGGCUGAGCAGGAGUGUGGUCACAGACUCUGCCUGGGGGCUGGCACGUGGAGUGGAAGCAGGGGUUUGGCGGGUGUUUCUACUUUGACUUCUCAUUGCACUAAACCUACAGCUCUGCAGAGUGAUGGGGAAGAGGGUGGGACAAAGGGGUGUGCCCCGGCCGAGUGCAGUCCACAGGCAGGGGGUAUGCAGCACAGCCUCGGGCCACCGGAGGAGGCCCUCCCUGUUCCUCCGCCCCUCUCUCCUCUCUGAGGCUGGAGGAAGGAACGGUUCACAGGGCCACCCGCUGUUCCUCAGGGGCCUUUGUUUCUCCCCAACUCACACUCUAGCAUGAGUCUGCCUUCUUCACUCUGAGCUCCAAGGCUGGAGAGCGGACCUCAAAGCCACUAGGCGCUGGCCUUCCUCUCCCCACACCCCUGCUACACCCACGAUUGCCCCCGGCACUCACCUCCCCCAUGUACUUGAGGGCAUCCCACAGA